Molecule: ribosomal RNA, 253 nt
Filed under: uncultured bacterium
Lineage: Bacteria
Description: partial 16S ribosomal RNA
Rfam family: Bacterial small subunit ribosomal RNA
Source: RNAcentral
AACGUAGGUGGCGAGCGUUAUCCGGAAUUACUGGGCGUAUAGCGUGUGCAGGCGGGGCUGUAAGGGGGGGAUGAAAUCUCCCGGCUCAACCGGGAUAGGUUAUGCCAGACUGCAGCUCUUGAGUGCGAGAGAGGAGCGUGGAAUUCCGGGUGUAGUGGUGAAAUGCGUAGAGAUCCGGAGGAACCCCAGAGGCGAAGGCGGCGCUCUGGCUCGCAACUGACGCUCAGACACGACAGCAUGGGGAGCGAACGGG